RNAcentral lists this ribosomal RNA (400 nucleotides) under phytoplankton environmental sample. Its description in RNAcentral is "partial small subunit ribosomal RNA". It matches the Rfam family "Eukaryotic small subunit ribosomal RNA", at positions 587 to 988 of the family's 1831-position model. The record is from RNAcentral.
AGCUCCAAUAGCGUAUAUUAAAGUUGUUGCAGUUAAAAAGCUCGUAGUUGGAUUUCUGGUAGGAGCGACCGUUCCGAACUUGAUUGUUCGCGUAUUGAGUUGUCUCCAGCCAUCCUUGUGGAGAACUUUUCUUGCAUUAAUUUGUAGGGAUUGGGACCCGCAUCGUUUACUGUGAAGAAAUUAGAGUGUUUAAAGCAGGCAAUCGCUUGAAUACAUUAGCAUGGAAUAAUAAGAUAGGACUUUGGUACUAUUUUGUUGGUUUGCAUACCAAAUUAAUGAUCAACAGGAACAGUUUGAGGAUAUUCGUAUGAACAUGUCAGAGGUGAAAUUCUUGGAUUUUGAUCAGACGAACUACUGCGAAAGCAUUUAUCAAGGAUGUUUUCAUUAAUCAAGAACGAAA